ACGAGUGCUCCUACAUAUAUCAAUCUUCGUCCUUUUUUUCUCUUGCUGUCCCAUCGAACCCUUGUCCUCUUUUUCUCCUCUUCCUACCUCGUUUUGUGUGCCUUUCGGCGCACCUGUAGUCUGUCCGCUCUCUCUCCCUCCCCUUCAUCUCUCAUCCUCCGAAAAACGCCGCAUCGUCUUCCUCGCACGCGUGUGGUUUCGUUCCAAAAAGUCGGCGCCGUUUCUUGUGUUUCCUUCGUUUUCUAUCUAUCUUGUGAUUGUCAGGCUUUCGCGUGUGUGUGUGUGUGUGCGUAUCUUGUUUGGUUCGUGUAUCGUACGCGUCUGGCGUGUUUCCAGUUUUUCGUUUUCGGUCCGCACUGUGUUCUCUCCCCCCCCCACACACACACACGUGCGCGCGCACGCAGACCGAGCUUGUGAAGCAUAGCCAAUAGAAAAAAAUGGACAUUCUCACGCGACACUUGCAGGCCAUGGCGGAUGCCGUCGACUUUCCGUAUAUGGAUCGCUGGCUGGAGGACCAUAUUGACAUUCCCAUCGUCGCCACGGCACUGUACCUGAUCCUCGUCCAUGUCGUGAGCAAAACCUUUAUGAAGAACCGCCCCGCCUACAACCUGCGCACCUUGAACAUCGUGUGGAACUUGCUUCUGUCCCUCUUCUCCUUCGUUGGCGCCUACUACUGUGUGCCGCGUCUGUACGAGUUGGUGACGGCGCCCGCGAUCAGCGGGUUAGAGCCGAGCUCGCUGCGAUAUGUUGCGAACAUGACGCCAGCCAUGCGCCGCAACAUCGUCAUCCCGCCUGGGUUCCGCGAGGGUGUCGAUGCUGUAAGCGUCCGCGGCUCCCUGGACACGUCGAUGUGCGUCUUCAAGGAUGACAUGUACCGCCGCAACAUCUCGGGACUCCUUUGCCUGGCCUUCAUGUUCAGCAAGAUCCCUGAGAUGCUCGACACCGCCUUCCUUGUCUUUCAGAAGAAGCCCGUCAUCUUCCUCCACUGGUAUCACCACGUCACCGUCAUGCUGUACUGCUGGCAUGCGUGGAUGUCAUCAACCAGCAGCGGGCUGUGGUUUGUCUGCAUGAACUACGGCGUGCACUCCAUCAUGUACUUCUACUACUUUGUGGCGGCCUGCGGGUACAGCAAGCUGGUGCGACCUGUCGCCCCGCUCAUCACCUUCCUGCAGAUCGCUCAGAUGGUGGUCGGCAGCGUCAUUGCCGUGUAUGUAUUCUACAUGGACCAGUUCGGAGGCGGUUGCGACUGCCGCUCGUCGAACGCGAAGCUGGCAUUGAUGAUGUACGUCUCCUACUUCAUCCUCUUCACCAACUUCUUUCGUAGUCGGUACAUCAAGAAGAAGCCGAAGUCGGCCUCACCGUCGGCGCUGCCGGUGAGGUUGAACAACGACUACAAGAAGUACGAGUGACGGAAAAUGUUUUGUUUUUCGUUCGAUGGCAGAACAGCGUAGCGGGGAAGCGAGGUUGCCGGUAGCACGAGCGGUCCAGUCGUGUUUCCGCGCACGAGUAUGGUCGCAGUCGUUGUCGUCUUGUUGUAGCACAGUUGCGAAGGUGACCGUCUUGUCGUGCCUCGGCGAGGACGAAGCUGUCCUGGGCCAUGGGAAAGAAGUCCUUCGCGUGGCGGCUCCUUCGGCCUGCACCUUCUUCACGGCAUGGCACACAGACACAUUGGGCGCACACACGGAAACAGACACAUAGGCAGGAAAACGAGGUUUGUGGGUGUGUGCGCGUGUGUCUUUCUUCUACAUGUGUAGCAACGGUGGUGGGGAGGGGAAGGGUUCGGGGGAAACACCGAGCGGAACGUGGAGGUGAGACGCGGAAAGGCAACUGUCGAUGACGAUCGUGCAGGGGUGACACAUGAGCUUAUACGGCAAGGCAAGGCAGAAGGCCGUGAUGGGGACGCCUGUGACUCGUAGUGGGCCUUUUCGACAGACAGACAAAGAAGGGGAAGGCAGAGAACAGAGUGGUAUGGGCGCUGCUGGCGCAUCAAUCGGCUGCUGGUAGAGGGGAAAGAAGGACUGCGAUGGAGGGAGCUGUUCAUAUGAGCGCGUGCGCGUGUUGAGGCAGGCAGCAGACCCAUUGCAGCAAGGUUCCUCUUGCUUGCGCUCCUUCUCCUGCUACUUACCUGUGCCCAUAAUGUGUGUGUGUGUGUGUGUGCAUUGGUAGAGUCUCGACGGGAAAGGAAAAAGGGAGUACCAAAAACGAACGGUGGCGGCGAGGGCAGGACUACGGUGACUGCCAAGACUAACGACAUUCACGGCAACACGCAGAGAGAAAGAGGGGUGCAAGCCGAAGCGGUUCGCUCACGCGAGAGGGCUUCAGCACAACAUCAGCGCGUGAGAGAGGUGGGCGCUGGUCCACCAGUCACAAGACACCAGCGAACAUGCACGCAUUCAACGGCCACGUUGAGUAGGUACCAAAGGAGAACUGUAUUGUUUGUGACCUCGAAGCGAGCAGUCGUUCAGUACACCCGCACGCAAGCGAAACACAGACGAAAAGGCUUCAGCGAUUUGCGCGCCGCUGGUCGUUGGAUGUGCUCUUGCAUCGUGUUGUAUGCAUGCGCGUGCAUGCCAAGGCACGGAGUCGUGCGUUCAGCGGUGAACUUCCCAGCGCCUUUUCAGCAAUCGCCGCACCGCGGCCUCGUCUCCCUCGCUCAUCGCGUCGCCUUUCACUCCCCUCUCACGUUCGUGCGUGCCUGUGUGUCUGUGUUUGCUUCUUUAUCGGUAUUGUUGCCUUCUCGCUUGGACCGCCCACGUCCGCCUGCUGCGCCGUUCGUGUGCGUAUGCAUACACGCGUGCACAUGUGCGUGCGUGUUGGGGGGAGGGGGGCGUCUGAGCAAAGUACAGCCGUGCGAAGUUGGAGUUUGCCGCCAGUCGUUGAAAUGGGUUUCGAAAGAGGAUCGGACACAGCGGGGCACGGGAAGGUUGCGUUCGCGCGAAGGGAGAAGGGAGGGGUGGAGGACGGCGAGGCUUGGGCGAAGACAAGUCAGGAUUGUGCGCGCGGAGCCAUAUGCGCGCACAUGCGUGGGGCGGAAAGCCGUAUCCCUUCACCACCACCAAGACCACUCCCCUCCCCGCCCCUUGUUGUUUAUACCGUUCCGCAAGCCGUCGAUGCCCAGUGAAAGUGGCACAGACCUGCCGCCCGUCAAGCACACAAUCGCCCCACACCCGCCCUUCCCCUCGUUCUUCUUCUGUCGGUCAGCCUGUAGUGGGGCCUAUUCUUCGUCUUUUCCCGUCCCUGCUUUGUUCGUCGUCGCUGUUCCUAUAGAGUGCGCGAAAAGAAGACGCGGCGUUGCUCUACAUGCAUCUCGCGUUGUUGUUGUUUUUUCAUUAUGUUUCUUCAGCCGCGCGGGGCUCGACAGAUGAACAUGUGAAAAGACCCGCUUGUAUCUUUCCUUGUCUUUUUUUUUGUUUACUAUUUCUCUCUCCCCCUCUCUCGCACGAAGACAAUACAUUUGUGCUUCGGCAUUAUAGCAUGAUGCUUGCGCGACACACACAUACAUGUGUGUGUGUGUUCGCGUAGCCACAAAGUCUUCGCCCGUGGUGUCUCUAAUCCUGUAGGGUACGUUUCCGAUUGCUUUAUCAUCGUUUCGGUGUAGUUUUUCUUCUCGUUUAAAGUGCAGUCCGCGUCUUUCUCAGCGUCGCGUUCGCGUGAAAGUGUCGUCAUGCGGCUUCCCGGUUUUGUAAGGAAGCAGGCACGCCGACAGCUCACUGCGCCACCGGCGGUUUUGAACAGAUGGCACUGUCGACACGGAUUGCGCAGCAAGAGGGGCUCCCCACCACCGCCCACAAGUACAAAACACACUCGAGACAGCGCGAGAAUGUCUCAUGGCCCAUCUCGCGAGUAGCGUAAUGCCUGCGUGGGCUCUCUCCCACAGAAGAUGCUGGCGUUCUGCUCGACCAGUGUCCCGGCGGCAUUACUCCCAUUGCAGCGAGUGGGACGUGUUUGUGGCCCUGGUCACAAGGUCUGUCUAAAAGGAUCAAUGUGACCCCGCACGCUUAGCGUCGUCGCAGCGGAAUUUGUUCGCCUAAAUGUUGGCGGGAUGCUGAGAAUUGCAUGCGGGCUAGCAGGCAGUGGCAGGAGUGCCCAUCAUGCUCUUUUCAUCGCCUCACCGUCUCCCUCUCUUCCCCCAGUGUCGCGGCAUUCUCGCUGGCGCUCUUUCAAUCUACAACGCUUGCCAUUCUCUCCGUUGUAGCGGUGAUUCUUGCGACUUUCUUUUUUUUUAACGCUACUUUACGUUUUCUUCGGUAUCUUCGCGGCG
This 4261-nucleotide unclassified non-coding RNA is filed under the name Leishmania donovani. RNAcentral's name for it is "gene:LdHU3.14.1000(CDS-product:fatty_acid_elongas e_putative)". The record is from RNAcentral. Lineage: Eukaryota; Euglenozoa; Kinetoplastea; Trypanosomatida; Trypanosomatidae.